Molecule: ribosomal RNA, 498 nt
Filed under: uncultured bacterium
Lineage: Bacteria
Description: partial 16S ribosomal RNA
Rfam family: Bacterial small subunit ribosomal RNA
Source: RNAcentral
AUUGAACGCUGGCGGCAUGCCUUACACAUGCAAGUCGAACGGUAACAGGUCUUCGGAUGCUGACGAGUGGCGAACGGGUGAGCAAUACAUCGGAACGUGCCUAGUAGUGGGGGAUAACUACUCGAAAGAGUGGCUAAUACCGCAUGAGAUCUACGGAUGAAAGCAGGGGAUCGCAAGACCUUGUGCUACUAGAGCGGCCGAUGGCAGAUUAGGUAGUUGGUGGGAUAAAAGCUUACCAAGCCGACGAUCUGUAGCUGGUCUGAGAGGACGAUCAGCCACACUGGGACUGAGACACGGCCCAGACUCCUACGGGAGGCAGCAGUGGGGAAUUUUGGACAAUGGGCGAAGGCCUGAUCCAGCAAUGCCGCGUGCAGGAUGAAGGCCUUCGGGUUGUAAACUGCUUAUGUACGGAACGAAAAGCCCCGGGUUAAUACCCUGGGGUCAUGACGGUACCGUAAGAAUAAGCACCGGCUAACUACGUGCCAGCCGCCGCCGUAA